GUAGGGGGCAAGCGUUAUCCGGAUUUACUGGGUGUAAAGGGAGCGUAGACGGCACGGCAAGCCAGAUGUGAAAGCCCGGGGCUCAACCUCGGGACUGCAUUUGGAACUGCUGAGCUAGAGUGUCGGAGAGGCAAGUGGAAUUCCUAGUGUAGCGGUGAAAUGCGUAGAUAUUAGGAGGAACACCAGUGGCGAAGGCGGCUUGCUGGACGAUGACUGACGUUGAGGCGCGAAAGCGUGGGGAGCAAACAGGAUUAGUUACCCUGGUAGUCCACGCUGUGAACGAUGGAUACUAGGUGUGCGGGGACUGACCCCCUGCGUGCCGCAGUUAACACAAUAAGUAUCCCACCUGGGGAGU
RNAcentral lists this ribosomal RNA (355 nucleotides) under uncultured bacterium. RNAcentral describes it as "bacterial SSU rRNA". It matches the Rfam family "Bacterial small subunit ribosomal RNA", at positions 527 to 881 of the family's 1533-position model. The record is from RNAcentral.